CUCAAAGGAAUUGACGGGGACACCGCACAGCGGUGAUUAUGUGGAUAAUUGAUCAACGCGAAAACCUUACCUACCCUUGACAUGCUUGAAUCUAAUGGAGACAUAAGAGUGCCCGAAAGGGAGCCAAGACACAGGUGCUGCAUGGCUGUCGUCAGCUCGUGUCGUGAGAUGUUGGGUUAAGUCCCGCAACGAGCGCAACCCUUGUCACUAAUUGCUAUCAUUUUUAAUGAGCACUUUAGUGAGACUGCCGGUGACAAACCGGAGGAAGGUGGGGAUGACGUCAAGUCCUCAUGGCCCUUAUGGGUAGGGCUUCACACGUAAUACAAUGGCGUGUACAGAGGGUUGCCAACCCGCGAGGGGGAGCCAAUCUCAGAAAGCACGUCGUAGUCCGGAUCGGAGUCUGCAACUCGACUCCGUGAAGUCGGAAUCGCUAGUAAUCGCGGAUCAGCAUGUCGCGGUGAAUACGUUCCCGGGUCUUGUACACACCGCCCGUCACACCAUGGGAGUGGUUUUCACCAGAAGCAGGUAGCUUAACCGCAAGGAGGGCGCUUGCCACGGUGGGGGUCAUGACUGGGGUGAAGUCGUAACAAGGUAACCGUA
Molecule: ribosomal RNA, 600 nt
Filed under: uncultured bacterium
Lineage: Bacteria
Description: bacterial SSU rRNA
Rfam family: Bacterial small subunit ribosomal RNA
Source: RNAcentral